GCCUCGGUGGCUCAGCCGGCAGAGCGAGUGAUUUGUAAUCACUAGGUCGCGAGUUCAAAUCUCGCCCGAGGCU
This 73-nucleotide transfer RNA is filed under the name Methanosarcinales archaeon. RNAcentral describes it as "tRNA-Thr". It matches the Rfam family "tRNA". From Rfam's summary of the family: Transfer RNA (tRNA) molecules are approximately 80 nucleotides in length. Their secondary structure includes four short double-helical elements and three loops (D, anti-codon, and T loops). The record is from RNAcentral. Lineage: Archaea; Methanobacteriati; Methanobacteriota; Methanomicrobia; Methanosarcinales. RNAcentral also lists the same sequence under 1 other name.